RNAcentral lists this transfer RNA (72 nucleotides) under Camelus bactrianus (Bactrian camel). It matches the Rfam family "tRNA". From Rfam's summary of the family: Transfer RNA (tRNA) molecules are approximately 80 nucleotides in length. RNAcentral also lists the same sequence under 3 other names. Lineage: Eukaryota; Metazoa; Chordata; Mammalia; Artiodactyla; Camelidae. The record is from Rfam by way of RNAcentral.
GUGGGUAUAGCUCAGGGGUAGAGUGUGUGCCUUACAUGCAUGAGGUCCUGGGUUCAAUCCCCAGUACCUCCA